This 223-nucleotide ribosomal RNA is filed under the name uncultured bacterium. RNAcentral describes it as "partial 16S ribosomal RNA". It matches the Rfam family "Bacterial small subunit ribosomal RNA", at positions 111 to 334 of the family's 1533-position model. The record is from RNAcentral.
UAACGCGUGGGUAACCUGCCUCAUACAGGGGGAUAACAGUUGGAAACGACUGCUAAUACCGCAUAAGCGCACAGGAUCACAUGAUCUGGUGUGAAAAACUCCGGUGGUAUGAGAUGGACCCGCGUCUGAUUAGCCAGUUGGCAGGGUAACGGCCUACCAAAGCGACGAUCAGUAGCCGACCUGAGAGGGUGGCCGGCCACAUUGGGACUGAGACACGGCCCAA